Molecule: RNA transcript, 1226 nt
Organism: Cryptomeria japonica (Japanese cedar)
Lineage: Eukaryota; Viridiplantae; Streptophyta; Pinopsida; Cupressales; Cupressaceae
Gene name: mitochondrial fission 1 protein A
Exons: 6
Source: RefSeq, a predicted model, not a curated record
GCGUUUUGAUAGAAUUAAGCGCUACAAAAUUUGACGGGAAGAACUACUCAAAAACCAAAUAGAAAAUAGAAACGCAUGAGCCUUCGUUGCCAAGUCUUCUCCUUUUACAGCUAUAAACUUAAUUAGAAUAGAGAGUGAAUUGAGCAGAGAUCAUUCGAGGUUAAAAAUGUCGGACAAAUUUAGUGGCAUAAUGGAAUCAGUUGGGUCCAUUUUCAGAUCGGGAGAUUAUCUCCCCUGGACCGAUUCCGAUAUAAUUGCUAACUGUGAAAGGGAAGCAGCUGGACAGUGGGCCGAAGUCACAAAAGAUUCAGACAAGAAAGAGAGUAUUAUGAGGUUGUCUUGGGCACUUGUACAUUCACGACAAGCUGCAGAUGUACAACGAGGAAUAGCAAUGUUGGAAGUUGCCUUAAAUAAUGGUGGGGGACCUCUACAAAGGAAAGAGAUACUUUAUCUUCUUGCAGUGGGUCACUUCAGGGCAGGUGAUUAUACAAGGAGCAGGCGUUAUAUAGAGCAAGCAUUGCAGAUUGCUCCAGACUUCAGACAAGCACUGACAUUGAAGAAAUCAAUUGAAGACAAGAUAACUAAAGAUGGUGUUAUUGGGAUAGGUAUUGCAGCAACCGCUGUAGGACUUGUUGCUGGCAGCCUUGCAGCAGCAUUGGCUCGGAAAAAGUGACAGUGUCUUGAAACUUUUAGAUGCCAAUGGACAAUUCUCCAGCAUCUAUGUGGGAAGUUUCCUGUAAAUACAAUUGAAUCAUCUUCAAACAAUAUUGGCAUUUGUUAACUUUUAAUGGCCUGUUAUAAUUUAAUCUAUGUCGUUGUUAUAGUAUGAACUUAGUGUGUAGAUUUUAUGCAUGGUCUGGAGCAUUCUCAAGGCUUGUUUUGAGAGUUUGCCUUUGUAUGGUUGAACCAUUCAAUAUUAUGGUAGAUGCCGUGUCAGUAUUUUAGACAGAGUGUUUAAUCAUCAGAGAUUCAAAGUUUGUGACUUGUAUAGUAUUUAACUCAGUAUGAUUACAUGGAAAUUCUCAUAAAAUGUUUCAAAAUUGGCUCCCGUAGAUUUUAGUAGUGUGGUUUUUUAGCAGUGCGAUAGUGAGCAUAUGUUAUGAGUGUCGUCCAAGUUACAUUCACAGAACUUUGUGACAAUUAUUAACUCAUCUGUUCCAUACUGUCAAACUUCAAAACUUGGCAGAAAUAAUAAACUAAUUGACAAAAAACAACAACAGUUGACU